RNAcentral lists this ribosomal RNA (462 nucleotides) under uncultured bacterium. RNAcentral describes it as "partial 16S ribosomal RNA". It matches the Rfam family "Bacterial small subunit ribosomal RNA", at positions 28 to 507 of the family's 1533-position model. The record is from RNAcentral.
GACGAACGCUGGCGGCGUGCUUAACACAUGCAAGUCGAACGGAAAGGCCCUUCGGGGUACUCGAGUGGCGAACGGGCGAGCAACACGUGGGCGAUCUGCCCUGCACUUUGGGAUAAGCCUGGGAAAUUGGGUCUAAUACCGAAUAGGACCACGCGCUUCAUGGUGUGUGGGGGAAAGCGUUUGCGGUGUGGGAUGGGCCCGCGGCCUAUCAGCUUGUAGGUGGGGGAAUGGCCUACCAAGUCGACGACGGAUAGCCGGCCUGAGCGCGUGACCGGCCACACGGCGCCUGAGAGAGGGCCCAGACUCCAACGGUACGCACCGGUGGGGAACAUUACGCAGUGACCGCAAGCCAGUUACAGCGGCGCCGCGUGAGGGAAGACGGCCUUCGAGUUGUAAACCUAUUUCAAAAGGGACGAAGCGCACGUGACGGUACCUAUAGAGGAAGCACCGGCCAACUACGUG